CCUACGGGAGGCAGCAGUGGGGAAUAUUGGACAAUGGGCGCAAGCCUGAUCCAGCAAUGCCGCGUGAGUGAUGAAGGCCUUAGGGUCGUAAAGCUCUUUUACCAGGGAUGAUAAUGACAGUACCUGGAGAAUAAGCUCCGGCUAACUCCGUGCCAGCAGCCGCGGUAAUACGGAGGGAGCUAGCGUUGUUCGGAAUUACUGGGCGUAAAGCGUACGUAGGCGGUUAUUCAAGUCAGAGGUGAAAGCCCGGGGCUCAACCCCGGAACGGCCUUUGAAACUAGGUAGCUAGAAUCUUGGAGAGGUCAGUGGAAUUCCGAGUGUAGAGGUGAAAUUCGUAGAUAUUCGGAAGAACACCAGUGGCGAAGGCGACUGACUGGACAAGUAUUGACGCUGAGGUACGAAAGCGUGGGGAGCAAACAGGAUUAGAUACCCUGGUAGUCCACGCCGUAAACGAUGAUAACUAGCUGUCCGGGCACUUGGUGCCUGGGUGGCGCNGCUACGACAUUAAGUUAUACCGUCCGUCGGGAGGUACGGUCGCGAGAGUAAACGUAACGAAAGAAAGUUAGACGGUCGUGAGACGUUGCCGACGGACGACGACGAGGGAGGAGG
RNAcentral lists this ribosomal RNA (609 nucleotides) under uncultured bacterium. Its description in RNAcentral is "bacterial SSU rRNA". The stretch from base 1 to 519 matches the Rfam family "Bacterial small subunit ribosomal RNA", at positions 338 to 873 of the family's 1533-position model. The record is from RNAcentral.